Molecule: ribosomal RNA, 548 nt
Filed under: Aspergillus tamarii
Lineage: Eukaryota; Fungi; Ascomycota; Eurotiomycetes; Eurotiales; Aspergillaceae
Description: eukaryotic LSU rRNA
Rfam family: 5.8S ribosomal RNA (bases 168-321)
Source: RNAcentral
CUAGCGAGCCCACCUCCCACCCGUGUUUACUGUAACCUUAGUUGCUUCGGCGGGCCCGCCUUUAAGGCCGCCGGGGGGCAUCAGCCCCCGGGCCCGCGCCCGCCGGAGACACCACGAACUCUGUCUGAUCUAGUGAAGUCUGAGUUGAUUGUAUCGCAAUCAGUUAAAACUUUCAACAAUGGAUCUCUUGGUUCCGGCAUCGAUGAAGAACGCAGCGAAAUGCGAUAACUAGUGUGAAUUGCAGAAUUCCGUGAAUCAUCGAGUCUUUGAACGCACAUUGCGCCCCCUGGUAUUCCGGGGGGCAUGCCUGUCCGAGCGUCAUUGCUGCCCAUCAAGCACGGCUUGUGUGUUGGGUCGUCGUCCCCUCUUCGGGGGGGACGGGCCCCAAAGGCAGCGGCGGCACCGCGUCCGAUCCUCGAGCGUAUGGGGCUUUGUCACCCGCUCUGUAGGCCCGGCCGGCGCUUGCCGAACGCAAAACAACCAUUCUUUCCAGGUUGACCUCGGAUCAGGUAGGGAUACCCGCUGAACUUAAGCAUAUCAAUAAGCGG